This 253-nucleotide ribosomal RNA is filed under the name uncultured bacterium. Its description in RNAcentral is "partial 16S ribosomal RNA". It matches the Rfam family "Bacterial small subunit ribosomal RNA", at positions 524 to 776 of the family's 1533-position model. The record is from RNAcentral.
UACGUAGGGUGCGAGCGUUAAUCGGAAUUACUGGGCGUAAAGCGUGCGCAGGCGGUUCGUUAAGUUCGUUGUGAAAGCCCCGGGCUCAACCUGGGAACUGCAAUGGAAACUGGCAGGCUUGAGUGUGGCAGAGGGGGGUGGAAUUCCGCGUGUAGCAGUGAAAUGCGUAGAGAUGCGGAGGAACACCGAUGGCGAAGGCAGCCCCCUGGGCCAACACUGACGCUCAGGCACGAAAGCGUGGGGAGCAAACAGG